UAGGGAAUCUUCCACAAUGGGCGCAAGCCUGAUGGAGCAACACCGCGUGAGUGAAGAAGGGUUUCGGCUCGUAAAGCUCUGUUGUUAAAGAAGAACACGUAUGAGAGUAACUGUUCAUACGUUGACGGUAUUUAACCAGAAAGUCACGGCUAACUACGUGCCAGCAGCCGCGGUAAUACGUAGGUGGCAAGCGUUAUCCGGAUUUAUUGGGCGUAAAGAGAGUGCAGGCGGUUUUCUAAGUCUGAUGUGAAAGCCUUCGGCUUAACCGGAGAAGUGCAUCAGAAACUGGAUAACUUGAGUGCAGAAGAGGGUAGUGGAACUCCAUGUGUAGCGGUGGAAUGCGUAGAUAUAUGGAAGAACACCAGUGGCGAAGGCGGCUACCUGGUCUGCAACUGACGCUGAGACUCGAAAGCAUGGGUAGCGAACAGGAUUAGAUACCCUGGUAGUCCAUGCCGUAAACGAUGAGUGCUAGGUGUUGGAGGGUUUCCGCCCUUCAGUGCCGGAGCUAACACAUUAAGCACUCCGCCUGGGGAGUACGACCGCAAGGUUGAAAC
This 554-nucleotide ribosomal RNA is filed under the name uncultured bacterium. RNAcentral describes it as "partial 16S ribosomal RNA". It matches the Rfam family "Bacterial small subunit ribosomal RNA", at positions 355 to 900 of the family's 1533-position model. The record is from RNAcentral.